GAUGAACGCUAGCGACAGGCUUAACACAUGCAAGUCGAGGGGCAUCAUGAGGUAGCAAUACGUUGAUGGCGACCGGCGCACGGGUGAGUAACGCGUAUGCAACCUGCCCGAUACCGGGGUAUAGCCCAUGGAAACGUGGAUUAACACCCAAUAGUACUUGUAUCCUGCCUGGGAUGGGAGUUAAAUGUUCAAGGGAUCGGAUGGGCAUGCGUCCUAUUAGUUAGUUGGCGGGGUAACAGCCCACCAAGACGAUGAUAGGUAGGGGUUCUGAGAGGAAGGUCUCCCACAUUGGAACUGAGACACGGUCCAAACUCCUACGGGAGGCAGCAGUGAGGAAUAUUGGUCAAUGGACGUAAGUCUGAACCAGCCAAGUCGCGUGAGGGAAGACUGCCCUAUGGGUUGUAAACCUCUUUUAUAAGGGAAGAAUAAGUUCUACGUGUAGAAUGAUGCCUGUACCUUACGAAUAAGCAUCGGCUAACUCCGUGCCAGCAGCCGCGGUAA
Molecule: ribosomal RNA, 501 nt
Filed under: uncultured bacterium
Lineage: Bacteria
Description: partial 16S ribosomal RNA
Rfam family: Bacterial small subunit ribosomal RNA
Source: RNAcentral